This 463-nucleotide ribosomal RNA is filed under the name uncultured bacterium. RNAcentral describes it as "partial 16S ribosomal RNA". It matches the Rfam family "Bacterial small subunit ribosomal RNA", at positions 28 to 507 of the family's 1533-position model. The record is from RNAcentral.
GACGAACGCUGGCGGCGUGCUUAACACAUGCAAGUCGAACGGAAAGGCCUUUUCGGAGGUACUCGAGUGGCGAACGGGUGAGUAACACGUGGGUGAUCUGCCCUGCACUCUGGGAUAAGCCUGGGAAACUGGGUCUAAUACCGGAUAGGACCGCACUUUAGUGUGUGUGGUGGAAAGUUUUUUCGGUGUAGGAUGAGCCCGCGGCCUAUCAGCUUGUUGGUGGGGUAAUGGCCUACCAAGGCGGCGACGGGUAGCCGGACUGGGAGGUUGGUCGGCCACAUUGGGACUGAGAUACGGCCCAGACUCCUACGGGAGGCAGCAGUGGGGAAUAUUGCACAAUGGGCGCAAGCCUGAUGCAGCGUCGCCGCGUGGGGGAGGACGGCCUUCGGGUUGUAAACUCCUUUCGCCAGGGACGAAGCGUUUUGUGACGGUACCUGGAGAAGAAGCACCGGCUAACUACGUG